CGGACGGGUAGUAACGCGUGAGAACAUGCCUUUAGAUUGGGACAACAGUUGGAAACGACUGCUAAUACCGAAUGUGCCUUAGGGUGAAAGAUUUAUUUGUCUAGAGAUUGGCUCGCGUCAGAUUAGCUAGUUGGAGUGGUAACGGCACACCAAGGCGACGAUCUGUACUUGGUCUGAGAGGAUGACCAGGCACACUGGAACUGAGACACGGUCCAGACUCCUACGGGAGGCAGCAGUGGGGAAUUUUCCGCAAUGGGCGAAAGCCUGACGGAGCAAUACCGCGUGAGGGAGGACGGCUUUUGGGUUGUAAACCUCUUUUAUCAGGGAAGAAUCGAUGACGGUACCUGAUGAAUCAGCAUCGGCUAACUCCGUGCCAGCAGCCGCGGUAAUACGGAGGAUGCAAGCGUUAUCCGGAAUUAUUGGGCGUAAAGCGUCCGUAGGUGGUUUAUCAAGUCUGCUGUCAAAGCGUGCGGCUUAACCGCAUAAGGGCAGUGGAAACUGAUGAACUAGAGUGCGAUAGGGGUAACAGGAAUUCCCAGUGUAGCGGUGAAAUGCGUAGAUAUUGGGAAGAACACCAGCGGCGAAAGCGUGUUACUGGGUCUGCACUGACACUGAGGGACGAAAGCUAGGGGAGCGAAUGGGAUUAGAUACCCCUGUAGUCCUAGCCGUAAACGAUGACAACUAGGCGUGGUUCGCAUCGACCCGAGCCGUGCCGUAGCCAACGCGUUAAGUUGUNNGCCUGGGGAGUACGCACGCAAGUGUGAAACUCAAAGGAAUUGACGGGGGCCCGCACAAGCGGUGGAGUAUGUGGUUUAAUUCGAUGCAACGCGAAGAACCUUACCAAGGCUUGACAUCCUCGGAACCCUGAUGAAAGUUAGGGGUGCCUUCGGGAGCCGAGAGACAGGUGGUGCAUGGCUGUCGUCAGCUCGUGUCGUGAGAUGUUGGGUUAAGUCCCGCAACGAGCGCAACCCACGUUUUUAGUUGCCAGCAUUCAGUUGGGCACUCUAGAGAGACUGCCGGUGACAAACCGGAGGAAGGUGUGGAUGACGUCAAGUCAGCAUGCCCCAUACGCCUUGGGCUACACACGUACUACAAUGCGUCGGACAAAGAGCAGCCAGCCAGCGAUGGUGAGCCAAUCUCAUAAACNNANGCUCAGUUCAGAUUGCAGGCUGCAACUCGCCUGCAUGAAGGCGGAAUCGCUAGUAAUCGCAGGUCAGCAUACUGCGGUGAAUACGUUCCCGGGCCUUGUACACACCGCCCGUCACACCAUGGGAGUUGGUCACGCCCGAAGUCGUUACUCUAACUGCUUGCAGAGGAGGACGCCGAAGGUGGGGCUGAUGGCUGGGGUGAAG
RNAcentral lists this ribosomal RNA (1352 nucleotides) under Leptolyngbya angustata. Its description in RNAcentral is "16S ribosomal RNA". It matches the Rfam family "Bacterial small subunit ribosomal RNA". RNAcentral also lists the same sequence under 1 other name. Lineage: Bacteria; Bacillati; Cyanobacteriota; Cyanophyceae; Leptolyngbyales; Leptolyngbyaceae. The record is from RNAcentral.